UAGAGACAAGGAUGAAAAAAGAAA
This 24-nucleotide non-coding RNA is filed under the name Cricetulus griseus (Chinese hamster). The record is from RNAcentral. Lineage: Eukaryota; Metazoa; Chordata; Mammalia; Rodentia; Cricetidae.